GAUGAACGCGGCGGCGUGCCUAACACAUGCAAGUCGAGCGAGGGUUUGCUCAGUAUUGAGUAUUCUAAAACUAGAAUGUUCAAUUCUGAGCAAAACCAAGCGGCGGACGGGUGAGUAACGCGUGGGUAACCUGCCCUAUACACAUGGAUAACAUACUGAAAAGUUUACUAAUACAUGAUAAUAUAUAUUUGUGGCAUCGCAGAUAUAUCAAAGUGUUAGCGGUAUAGGAUGGACCCGCGUCUGAUUAGCUAGUUGGUGAGAUGACUGCCCACCAAGGCGACGAUCAGUAGCCGACCUGAGAGGGUGAUCGGCCACAUUGGAACUGAGACACGGUCCAAACUCCUACGGGAGGCAGCAGUGGGGAACAUUGCACAAUGGGCGAAAGCCUGAUGCAGCAACGCCGCGUGAACGAUGAAGGUCUUCGGGAUCGUAAAAGUUUCUGUGCAGGGGAAAG
Molecule: ribosomal RNA, 454 nt
Filed under: Peptostreptococcus stomatis
Lineage: Bacteria; Bacillati; Bacillota; Clostridia; Peptostreptococcales; Peptostreptococcaceae
Description: bacterial SSU rRNA
Rfam family: Bacterial small subunit ribosomal RNA
Source: RNAcentral